Molecule: RNA transcript, 4082 nt
Organism: Solanum tuberosum (potato)
Lineage: Eukaryota; Viridiplantae; Streptophyta; Magnoliopsida; Solanales; Solanaceae
Exons: 3
Source: RefSeq, a predicted model, not a curated record
AUUUCAAAUAAAUUUGUACAAAACAAGACCAAUUCAAAAAUUAGAUCAGCCCAAAACAACCAUGAAAUGGAACUACCAGCUUCUAUAUCAAAACCCUAGAAGAUAGGGUUUUCAAAUUUGAGUUCCUUUUCUUUCUCCCCUCGUCGCCGCUAGGAGCUAUAUGGAAUCCAACCUUCCUCUUCCUUUUGUCGUAGAUCAUCAACACCUUCCUCUUGUUUGCCAUGUUAACCCUCCUUCUCAGCUCGCAGAGGUAUGAUUUUUUUAGCUUGCUCUUUCCUUCUCUAUCUGUUUUCUAACUUCCUCCUUUUCUCUUGGAGAUAUAUAAUCUGGUGGAACAGUGGAUCCCAGAAGUGAUUUUGACUUUUGAUAGAGGCGUAUAGUCUUGUGGUUGAGCUCGCAACUCUCUGAGAUCAUAACCUUUGGUUUUAUGAAUUAGUGGAAAUAAAAAGGAGAAUUUCUUACAAGAACUUCAAGGUAUACAAGCAAAUAUGAAUUGUGAUGUAUGGAUUUAUACAUAUUCAACGUCUUGUCCUACAUUUGACAAAAAAGAUGUGCAACAACAUUUUUAUUCUUGGAUGACAGUAAAUAGAUGGAGAGGUUGUUUCGUUCCCUAUCUCCGAAUAUGGGGAAUAUAUUCUCAAAAAUUCUUGCUCUAAUCUAACCUAGCUGACGGAAGAUGAUAAAUAAAGAAGAACUCUUACAAGUUAUCGGCCAAAUGAUUGUGAGGUUUCAUGAUAUCAAUAGGGGAUCAACAAGGCUUUCUAUAUAGAUUUCUUACCAUGAUGUUGUAUCCAACAUAAAGACUGGUCAACAUUUACAGUUUGAGGACCUAUUCGUGGAUGACAGUACAUGACCAACUUCAGGGCAUCUAUCUAGUAAAUCUUUAUGGUAAAUUUGUCAACGAGAAGAUUUAUUGGAUUGCAGCUACUAGUCUUCAUAAUCACAAUGUGCGCAACAUCAUUUCUUUUGAUGUAGAAGAUGACACAUGGGGAAGCUUGGAGCUUCCCAUUUGUGGGGAAGUCAAUUCUAAUUUCAAAAUCAGAGUUGUGGAAAGUGACCUUUCGGUGCUUCAUACUUGUCGUCUAGGUGACACUGCUUCUGAUGUCUGGAUUUUGAAGGACUGUCCAAAAACCGCAAUUUUCAAAAUCCAAACAUCAGAAGUAGUAGUACCUAGAUGGCAAGAAUAGAGCACAGAAAGCACUUCCUACUACUCCCAGUUUGAUACUGGAAUUGUCUUCUCCACAAACGGAAAGCUCCAAGCAUCCCCAUGUCUCGUCUGCUACAUCAAAAGAAAUGAUAUUGCACACAUCGUAAUUACCAAUACCCAUAUAGAUGCAAUCCAAUAAAGCUUCCCAUUGACAAAUUUAGCCAAAUGAUUUAUUAGAAAGGUGCCAUGAAGCUGGUCAUGAAGUGUUGUCCAAGAAUCAGUCCUCAAGCUGUAAAUAUUGACGAAAUCCUCAUGUUGGACACCUCAUAAUUAUAAGAAUCACAACAAUGAUCAAUCAACAAAGCUUUAUAAUCGUCACUUGAGUCAUUGUAUCCAAAACCAUAUUUGGUAUAGAAAAAGAUACCACCGGGCAAAUUAAGUAAUUUCUUUGACUUGCUAUUGGUGGGGUUCCAUAUAUACGUCUCCCUUUCAUGAUUGCAAAGACAAAUCAACCCAUUGGCAGAACCCAUAAAAAAGGUUGAUAAAGUGGGGGAUCCAUUGUGAAGUAGCUUCUGAGUGAGUUGUUGUUUGCUAAAGAGGUGAGGGAGUGAACAAAAAUUGUAAUUUCUAUUGAUGUGUGUUUAAUUUGAGAUGAGUGUUCAAGAAAUGAGGGCUAGAUAUUAGUUGAUGCCAUGAUUUUGAAAUGGACAUACAUUUCAAUGGACUUUGUGGAAAGCCUUAAGAGAAUGUCUGUUGUGAUUUCAAUUGGGAUUAUGAUUUGAGUUAUUGUAGAAAUCAGAGUGAAAUGACUCAUAUAUUUACGUUCCUUCAAUGGGACACAACAAAGAAACUAAGAUAUUGAAGAAUACUAUAUAGAAGCAUGAAGAGCCAGGACAACCACAACUUAAUCAUAUUGUAUAUUCUCAAAAAAUCUUGCUCUAAUCUGACCUAGCUGACGGAAGAAGCUAAAUAAAGAAGAACUCUUACAAGUUAUCGGAUAAAUGAUCGUGAGGUUUCAUGAUAUCAAUAGGGGAUCAACAAGGCUUUCUACAUAGAUUUCUGCAGCAGCACAUUCCUCAAAUUGAUCAGCAACCUCUACUUGUCUGGUUGAACCGUUAUAUGUCAUGAUAACGGGGGAAGUAAAAGUAAAAUCUCAUCCAUAUUCGACUGAUAACAAGGUAUAGAGAAAAUGGAUGUAAAGAAUAUAAACUCCCCAAGGUCUUUAGGAUGAUCGACAGUGAAAAUCUUUGUCCGUGAUACUUCAACUCCACAAUCCUUCCUAAUCCACACAUCGGAAUUAGUUCCUUCAAGACAAUUAAGACAAAGCACAGAAAGAUGACUUCCAACCACUCCUAGUGCCAACGGAUAACUACCUUUUCCAUAACUAUUCGGAAUCUCCAACCUUCUCCACGUCUCGUCUGCUAAAUCAAGAGAAAUGAUGUUGCACAUAUUGAACGUAUCAACAUCAGCUGAUAAAGCCCAAUAAAGCUUUCCAUCGACAAAUUUACCCGGAGAAUUUACUAGAAAAUUUCCCUGAAACUUAUUAAUUGUUCUCCAAGAAUUAGCCUUCAAACUGUAUUUGUUGACUACAGUAUCACACAAUACAUUGAAUAACUACCACUUUGUAAUCAUCACGUGUUUCGUCAAAUCCAAAACCAUAUUUGAGAUAGUAAGAGCAACCGUUCCUCAAUUUAGCUCCAAGUGUAGGUAAUUUCUUAGACUUGUUAAUAGCGGGGUUCCAUAGAACUGUCUCCUCUAUCUUACUAUACAGACAAAUCAAUCCAUUGACAGAACCGUCAAUCCAAGAAUAAAUAGUGGGGCUUUCCAUGGGAGAACCAAUGUCAAAUAGCUCGGUGCUUCGUUCUUUGUUAAGCAUGGAAGGGAGACAACAUACCCUAAAUUGUGUGCAGAUUCUUGAAAAAUAAUCCUGCGGUGGCUGUAUUCUUUGUCAUUAGCUGUUUGUUUCAAAUGGGUUUUGAUAAACUUCGCGCUGGAGAUUAGUUCAAGCCCAUGAUUUUGAAACACACAUGAACUUCAACAGAGACUUUGGUGGCAAAUUUAAGAGGAUCUCUAUGAUGAUUUCAUGAGGAAGAACAGAGAGUAUCGAUUCAGCCAUAAGUCAUAUGGUACAGCUUUUGUGUGUAUUUUUUGUUAGUAUAAUAACAUAAAUAGUCGAGGUAGGGGGUAAGGUUUGCGUAGACUUAUGAUGUUGUAAGGUCAAGGAAACAAAAAUAGAAACCUAUAGAGAAAGCGAAACGGCUGAUGGAUCUUAUCUUUAUGAUAUCCUAUUAGACAUGGCUGAGAUCCCCAAACUACGUGGCAAAGAGAUCAAUGUUUUUGGAGGGAAAUGGUCUGUGAUAACAACAUCUUUCACUUUUUUCUAACUCUUUUCUGGAUUUUAUAUCAUAAAUAAUUAUUAUAAUGAUGUGGAAGUCUUUGUACUUCAGGACAAAUGCUAGGUGAAAUGUGAUAUUUUAUAGUAUGGGGCUUCAAGGUCACUUAACUUUUGAAGGGUAAUUGUCUAAAUAUUUUCAAUGUUGUUAUUUCUUUUAGAAAAAUGUUUUUGGCGGUUGUCUUGAUUGAGGAGAAGUCGUCAUAGUUUGAUUGCAACACAUUCUUGAACUAUAAUUUUUUAUUAAAAUUGGACGACUGGACGUGACAUAUAUAGAAAUCCUUAUUUGGAUAGAAGUAGAUAUUUGAAGUAUAAAUGGAUUGGGAUUAAGUAUCCAUUAAAUUGUUUUUGGCGUUUGUACAUAAACAGAAAUCCAAAUUUGGAUAGAAUUAGAUAUUUGAAGUAUAAAGGGAUUGGGAAGUACCCCUAAAUUCUUUGCCUAUUUAUAUCAACUCCUUUUGUACCGUAUUAAUUAUUCAAACAAGUUUAAAGGAUUUGGAAGUAUCGCCUGUAAUUCUUUGGCUAUAUAUAUUGUUCCUUUGA